GUGUAUUAACUCAGUUUGUCAACAAUGGAAGACUUUGGUCAUUCCAUUUUCGUGCAAAUCUCAACAACUAUCUGACUUUUAAAGAUUCAAUCAGCGCAUGAGGUCAAAAUACUUUUAAUAGUUCUGAUUUUCUCCAUCGAAAAGCAGAUUUGGCCAGUUUUUUAUUCAAAUUUCAAACGGGUCUUUUGAUUCGAUUUUGAAAAAUCAAGACUCUCAAAUCCCACCCAAAUAUUUACCUUCAUGAACUCUAGCUUAUUCUCUAUAAAUAGCAGCUUUAGCAUUAACUUUGGGCAUGUUUUUUGGAAUCGAUUUUCAGCCAUCAAUUCACAACCAAAAGCUGCCUGAAACAGCUCGCUUACUCUCAGAAAUAUUUAGCUUUCCAUCUCUUUUGUUUUCUGUGGAUUCUUGUGCGUGUUUUGAGUUUGAAGUAGGCAGAGUUCGAGCUUAGAUUUGUGGUCAAGAAAGUUCCAGUUCACUGCUCGCAAAUAGUCUUGUUGCAGGGUUAGUGAUGUUUCAUAAGUGAAGAUGAUGAUGAUCUUCGACAACAUCUACUCUUCCUUCCUUAUGGUGGGAGCUAUUUCUUAUUUUAUUUGGAAACUAUACUCUUAAAAGCUCUUAUAAAUGUUUAGACUAGUUCCUUGGGGGGGGGGGGGGAAUUCAGUGUAUUUAACAACUAUUUUUAAUUAUAAAAGAGAUUUCUUAUGUUUUCUUAACUUCCAUAUUGACUUGGUUUUAAAAUUGGUGUAAGGGUUCUCCUAUCUAGGUGUUAGAGUAGAUACCCGCACGAUCCGAUGAAUUGGAUUAUGACAUAGACAGUGUUGAUUCGGUCUAGUUGUGGAGAUCCUCAGAGAUGAGGGUGAGUUGAUGGCGUCCUAGCUCAACCUAUCUCAUUUCGUAUAUAGUUUUGACUAGUAUUUUGUAUUCGAGACAAAUUUAUAUUUUUUGGUCCACUUUUGGAACUUGUACUCAUAUAGUAGCUUUGUACUAUAGACCACCAGGUCGUGGGAUUGGAUCUCUUAUUUAUGUAUAUGUUGUUGUUCU
Long non-coding RNA from Solanum dulcamara, 1041 nucleotides. RefSeq lists it as uncharacterized. The record is from RefSeq and is a predicted model, not a curated record. Lineage: Eukaryota; Viridiplantae; Streptophyta; Magnoliopsida; Solanales; Solanaceae. The transcript has 2 exons.